GACGAACGCUGGCGGCGUGCUUAACACAUGCAAGUCGAACGGAAAGGCCCUGCUUGCAGGGUGCUCGAGUGGCGAACGGGUGAGUAACACGUGGGUGAUCUGCCCCUUACUUUGGGAUAAGCCUGGGAAACUGGGUCUAAUACUGGAUAGGACCAUGCUGUAGGUGGUGUGGUGGAAAGAUUAGUUUCGGUAAGGUAUGAGCUCGCGGCCUAUCAGCUUGUUGGUGGGGUAAUGGCCUACCAAGGCGUCGACGGGUAGCCGGCCUGAGAGGGUGGACGGCCCCAUUGGGACUGCGAUGCGGCCCAGACUCCUACGGGAGGCAGCAGUGGGGGAUAUUGUACAAUGGGCGCAAGCCUGAUGCAGCGACGCCGCGUGGGGGAUGACGGCCUUCGGGUUGUAAACUCCUUUCAGCCAUGACGAAGCCCUUGUGGUGACGGUAGUGGUAGAAGAAGCACCGGCUAACUACGUG
This 469-nucleotide ribosomal RNA is filed under the name uncultured bacterium. Its description in RNAcentral is "partial 16S ribosomal RNA". It matches the Rfam family "Bacterial small subunit ribosomal RNA", at positions 28 to 507 of the family's 1533-position model. The record is from RNAcentral.